RNAcentral lists this ribosomal RNA (500 nucleotides) under uncultured bacterium. Its description in RNAcentral is "partial 16S ribosomal RNA". It matches the Rfam family "Bacterial small subunit ribosomal RNA", at positions 30 to 523 of the family's 1533-position model. The record is from RNAcentral.
AUUGAACGCUGGCGGCAUGCCUUACACAUGCAAGUCGAACGGCAGCACGGGAGCAAUCCUGGUGGCGAGUGGCGAACGGGUGAGUAAUAUAUCGGAACGUGCCCAGUCGUGGGGGAUAACGCAGCGAAAGCUGUGCUAAUACCGCAUACGAUCUAUGGAUGAAAGCGGGGGACCGCAAGGCCUCGCGCGAUUGGAGCGGCCGAUAUCAGAUUAGCUAGUUGGUGGGGUAAAGGCCCACCAAGGCGACGAUCUGUAGCUGGUCUGAGAGGACGACCAGCCACACUGGAACUGAGACACGGUCCAGACUCCUACGGGAGGCAGCAGUGGGGAAUUUUGGACAAUGGGCGCAAGCCUGAUCCAGCAAUGCCGCGUGCAGGAUGAAGGCCUUCGGGUCGUAAACUGCUUUUGUACGGAACGAAACGGUGGGCUUUAAUACAGUUUGCUAAUGACGGUACCGUAAGAAUAAGCACCGGCUAACUACGUGCCAGCAGCCGCCGUAA